RNAcentral lists this ribosomal RNA (460 nucleotides) under uncultured bacterium. Its description in RNAcentral is "partial 16S ribosomal RNA". It matches the Rfam family "Bacterial small subunit ribosomal RNA", at positions 338 to 795 of the family's 1533-position model. The record is from RNAcentral.
CCUACGGGUGGCAGCAGUGAGGAAUAUUGGUCAAUGGACGAGAGUCUGAACCAGCCAAGUAGCGUGAAGGAUGACUGCCCUAUGGGUUGUAAACUUCUUUUAUAUGGGAAUAAAAUGUUCCACGUGUGGGAUUUUGUAUGUACCAUAUGAAUAAGGAUCGGCUAACUCCGUGCCAGCAGCCGCGGUAAUACGGAGGAUCCGAGCGUUAUCCGGAUUUAUUGGGUUUCAAGGGAGCGUAGGUGGAUUGUUAAGUCAGUUGUGAAAGUCUGCGGCUCAACCGUAAAAUUGCAGUUGAAACUGGCAGUCUGGAGUACAGUAGAGGUGGGCGGAAUUCGUGGUGUAGCGGUGAAAUGCUUAGAUAUCACGAAGAACUCCGAUUGCGAAGGCAGCUCACUGUACUGCAACUGACACUGAGGCUCGAAAGUGUGGGUAUCAAACAGGAUUAGAUACCCGGGUAGUC